UGGGCCAAGGCCGGUGAGGGCCUCAGAGGGGCCUCACUCCUCCGGGCCCCCCAGCCUCCAUCGCCGGGCUGAGGGGGCCGCUGGUGGAGGAGCUGAGGGCUCAUGCAUUCCACGCAGUGCCAGUGUCUGGCUGGUGACACCUCCCAGUUUCUUGUGAGGAACCACUCUGGCUCUUUCAGGAAAGGGAGUUCUUGAAUUCCCUCUCCCUUCUAGGGAGCUCCCAGCCAGAGGGACAGCUCAGCACCCCCACCCCUGCCCUCCACCCCAGCUCCUCCCGAGCUCCCAGGAAGGUGUGGGCUGAGAGAAAGAAACUCAUUAGCAAAAAGUGCUGCCUCCUACAGCGACACCAGCUGCUGGUCAGACUGGGGCAGCCAACACCACCAUCUGAAGCUACCUUUGGACCACCUACUUGGAUGAGAUUUGUGGUUGUGCAGCCAUGCUACUUGUGCCGACAUAUUUCCAUUUGUCUUUCAACAGUCAACGUUAUUAGAAGGGCCAUAUUUGUACACGUGCUCAUGGGAUACAACUCUUCUCUCUGCCCCUCUCUUACCCCCUCCGCCAGCUAUGCUCCUGCUUGGAACCCCACGCCACAUCUCAUCAAAGCAAUGCCAUGGGCAACCUGUGGACAAAGCUGGAUAUUGCCUCUGAAUAAAAGCUAAUCAUGGAUGGAA
Molecule: long non-coding RNA, 671 nt
Organism: Microcebus murinus (gray mouse lemur)
Lineage: Eukaryota; Metazoa; Chordata; Mammalia; Primates; Cheirogaleidae
Source: RefSeq, a predicted model, not a curated record